AGUGAACGCUGGCGGCAGGCCUAACACAUGCAAGUCGAACGGCAGCACAGGAGAGCUUGCUCUCGGGGUGGCGAGUGGCGGACGGGUGAGGAAUAUAUCGGAAUCUACCCUUUCGUGGGGGAUAACGUAGGGAAACUUACGCUAAUACCGCAUACGAACUGAGGUUGAAAGCGGCGGACCGCACGGCGUCGCGCGGAUGGAUGAGCCGAUAUCCGAUUAGCUAGUUGGCGGGGUAAAAGCCCACCAAGGCGACGAUCGGUAGCUGGUCUGAGAGGAUGAUCAGCCACACUGGAACUGAGACACGGUCCAGACUCCUACGGGAGGCAGCAGUGGGAAAUAUUGGACAAUGGGCGCAAGCCUGAUCCAGCCAUGCCGCGUGUGUGAAGAAGGCCUUCGGGUUGUAAAGCACUUUUGUUGGGAAAGAAAAGCGGUCGGUUAAUACCCGGUCGUUCUGACGGUACCCAAGGAAUAAGCACCGGCUAACUUCGUGCCAGCCGCCGCGGUAA
Molecule: ribosomal RNA, 506 nt
Filed under: uncultured bacterium
Lineage: Bacteria
Description: partial 16S ribosomal RNA
Rfam family: Bacterial small subunit ribosomal RNA
Source: RNAcentral